GAUGAACGCUAGCGGCAGGCUUAACACAUGCAAGUCGAGGGGUAUUGGUUUUCGGACCAAGAGACCGGCGCACGGGUGCGUAACGCGUAUGCAAUCUACCUUUUGCAGAGGGAUAGCCCCAGAGAAAUUUGGAUUAAUACCUCAUAGUAUAGUACUUUGGCAUCAAGGAACUAUUAAAGUCACAACGGCAAAAGAUGAGCAUGCGUCCAUUAGCUAGUUGGUAAGGUAACGGCUUACCAAGGCUACGAUGGGUAGGGGUCCUGAGAGGGAGAUCCCCCACACUGGUACUGAGACACGGACCAGACUCCUACGGGAGGCAGCAGUGAGGAAUAUUGGACAAUGGGCGCAAGCCUGAUCCAGCCAUGCCGCGUGUAGGAAUAAGGUCCUAUGGAUUGUAAACUGCUUUUAUACAGGAAGAAACACACCCUCGUGAGGGUACUUGACGGUACUGUAUGAAUAAAGGACCGGGACUAACUCCGUGCCAGCAGCCGCGGUAAA
This 498-nucleotide ribosomal RNA is filed under the name uncultured bacterium. RNAcentral's name for it is "bacterial SSU rRNA". It matches the Rfam family "Bacterial small subunit ribosomal RNA", at positions 28 to 524 of the family's 1533-position model. The record is from RNAcentral.